RNAcentral lists this ribosomal RNA (436 nucleotides) under uncultured Oscillospiraceae bacterium. RNAcentral describes it as "partial 16S ribosomal RNA". It matches the Rfam family "Bacterial small subunit ribosomal RNA", at positions 341 to 792 of the family's 1533-position model. Lineage: Bacteria; Bacillati; Bacillota; Clostridia; Eubacteriales; Oscillospiraceae. The record is from RNAcentral.
ACGGGAGGCAGCAGUGGGAAUAUUGGGCAAUGGGCGAAAGCCUGACCCAGCAACGCCGCGUGAAGGAAGAAGGUCUUCGGAUUGUAAACUUCUUUUAUGAGGGACGAAGGAAGUGACGGUACCUCAUGAAUAAGCCCCGGCUAACUACGUGCCAGCAGCCGCGGUAAUACGUAGGGGGCGAGCGUUAUCCGGAUUUACUGGGUGUAAAGGGCGCGUAGGCGGGACGGCAAGUCAGGUGUGAAAUCUAUGGGCUUAACCCAUAAACUGCAUUUGAAACUGUCGUUCUUGAGUGCUGGAGAGGUAGACGGAAUUCCUUGUGUAGCGGUGAAAUGCGUAGAUAUAAGGGAGAACACCAGUGGCGAAGGCGGUCUACUGGACAGUAACUGACGCUGAGGCGCGAAAGCGUGGGGAGCAAACAGGAUUAGAUACCCUGGUA